RNAcentral lists this transfer RNA (85 nucleotides) under Felis catus (domestic cat). It matches the Rfam family "tRNA". From Rfam's summary of the family: Transfer RNA (tRNA) molecules are approximately 80 nucleotides in length. Lineage: Eukaryota; Metazoa; Chordata; Mammalia; Carnivora; Felidae. The record is from Rfam by way of RNAcentral.
GCCUGGAUGGCUCAGUCAGUUAAGCGUCUGACUUCGGCUCAGGUCAUGAUCUCAUAGUUCAUGGGUUCGAGCCCCGUGUCGGGCU